This 497-nucleotide ribosomal RNA is filed under the name uncultured bacterium. Its description in RNAcentral is "partial 16S ribosomal RNA". It matches the Rfam family "Bacterial small subunit ribosomal RNA", at positions 28 to 507 of the family's 1533-position model. The record is from RNAcentral.
GAUGAACGCUGGCGGCGUGCCUAAUACAUGCAAGUCGAGCGAACAGACGAGGAGCUUGCUCCUCUGACGUUAGCGGCGGACGGGUGAGUAACACGUGGAUAACCUACCUAUAAGACUGGGAUAACUUCGGGAAACCGGAGCUAAUACCGGAUAAUAUAUUGAACCGCAUGGUUCAAUAGUGAAAGACGGUUUUGCUGUCACUUAUAGAUGGAUCCGCGCCGCAUUAGCUAGUUGGUAAGGUAACGGCUUACCAAGGCAACGAUGCGUAGCCGACCUGAGAGGGUGAUCGGCCACACUGGAACUGAGACACGGUCCAGACUCCUACGGGAGGCAGCAGUAGGGAAUCUUCCGCAAUGGGCGAAAGCUUGACGGGGCAACGCCGCGUGAGUGAUGAAGGUCUUCGGAUCGUAAAACUCUGUUAUUAGGGAAGAACAAAUGUGGAAGUAACUAUGCACGUCUUGACGGUACCUAAUCAGAAAGCCACGGCUAACUACGUG